Haemorhous mexicanus (house finch) is the source of this 3380-nucleotide long non-coding RNA. RefSeq lists it as uncharacterized. The transcript has 2 exons. Lineage: Eukaryota; Metazoa; Chordata; Aves; Passeriformes; Fringillidae. The record is from RefSeq and is a predicted model, not a curated record.
GACGGACGGACGGACGGACGGACGGACGGACGGACGGACGGGGCUGCACGGCGGGGAUGGCUGCAGCGGGACCCUCGGAACGGCGGGCCGGGCUCUCCGGGCAGAAGGCAAGAGGCAGCGGAAGCUCGGCAGCUGCGGCAGGAGCUGCGGGGGUCCCGGUGGGCACUGUCCGUGGAAACCCCCAGCUAAGCUCGCAGCCAGCCGCAGCCCUCCCGUGGCGGCUCCUUUCGUCUCUCUGAACUGUGGAUCGUUGUGGUUUCGACCUUAGCGACGGAUGGAACAAAAUUCCGUGAGAGAAAGAAACGAAAGGAAAAGUCCCAAACCCGACGCCAGGACAGCUGUGAAGAGCAAAGACCCAGGAAGGAAAUCAGGAGCACAAGACAUGCUACUGAUGUUAAGGGUUUAGUUUAGACCAGAAAUGAACUUUCUGAGUGGAAUCCCCUGAUCUCACCUGCUUAAACGUUGUUGUGGCUCGCAUAAGCGGGCAGUGCCACAGCGUAUGAACUGAGAAGUGUGAGGCAGCAGUACAUCAAAUACACUGUGUAGGUGUUUCAGGGCAUUUGGGCCGUGGCAGCAAAUUAAGCCAGGAUUAAAUAAUCCACCAGAACUGUGGGUGGUGGGUCCUCAGCACUGCUUCACCCCAAAAAUGGGGCCACUGAUCCACUACACUACUUGUGAACACAGCCAUUCUUAACUUCCCUGUUACAGAAAAAAGCUUUCAGCAGAUGGGACCACAAAAACCCCCAACGUUCCCUGUGUUAGGUACAGCAUUAUUUGGCAUUUUUUCAUUUCUGGUGCACUGCUGUAGAGCCCAAGAUAGAGAGAAUGUAAAAUAAAUUCUGGGCUUCGAACAAGUAAAAACAACAUUAAAGUGGACUUUGUUAUGAGUUCUUUAUUUCGGACAAAACUUGUGUUUAUCCUCUGCUCUUGCUAACUAGCUUCACAGAUGUCACCUAGUGAACAUCUCAGUUCUCAGGGAUUAUGAAAUACAGGGAUUAAUGCAAUGCAUAUUUCUUUCUUGAAAGAUUUCUGAGGAUCCAGCUUUUUCAAUGGAAGAUUCUGUUAGCUGAAGGACUAGAAAUCAGAAAACGCCUAAUUUGGAGAGCCAGUUCCAAUCUGGUUUUCAGGUACUUGGUAAGAUGAAUCAGAUUUGAUUUAAUGCAGUGAGAAACUUGCUUGGUGUAUUAGACCUACCUUGGGGCUGAGGAUUUUCUGUGCUGGCAGAAUGAGACUGGCUUUCCAUAAAUUAGCAUGUUACUUCCCACCUUUCCUGCCAAUGGCAUUCCAGUUCUCUAGGGCCAGCCAGCGGGGACUUGUGAAAGGCAGCAGGGUCUGCUGAAAGUACACUCAGACCCCUAGAAUUUAUAAAUUACUUGGGGCUUCCAAAACAGCAUUAAACUGCCAUCAGUUCUAGGCAAACGUAAUGGAUAUACUGGAAACUAAAGCUAUAGUAUGUACAUGCUCAGAACUCCACAGAAAAUACUAAAAGGUGUUUUUUCAUAAUAAGGAAAAAUGAGAUGUGAUACCUGACUUUGCAUUUCAGUACCUGGAUUGCCUCUUGCUGAGGCUUUUCCCUUCUGCUUAGAAGUGAUGUUUAUUAAGUCAUGGCAAUGGAAGUCCUGCUUCAGCUACGGUAUGCUUAAGGAGCAGAAUGUCUUACCUGAGCAGGUGUUGCUAUGUAUUGAAUGGCUCUGUAACUCAACUAAACAACCAAGACUAUUGCUAAUUGCAACAUUAAAGGCAUCUCGUGUGGAACAGUGACUGUCAGAAAAAUAGGGGACUUUUUUGUGGGUGAUCUUGCCACUUAAAGGCAAUGAUCCAUGUGUCCCUUCUUUUUCAGUCUCAAGUAAGAGAAAGAGUUUGUGAUAGAUAUGCAUGUGGAACCCUUAGUUUGGAAACUGACACUUCAGAGAUAAGGUUUUCCUUAUCUCUGAAGGUAACUUCAGUCUGCUGACCCAUUCCAUCAGGGCAGGUUUCAGUUAUAUUGGUUUACCACUUCAAGAUGCAGAUUAGAAGGUGGUGGUCUGGGUUUUCCUCAGGUUACAGCAGGACUUGGGGUGUGGUGGGCUGUCUCUCCUCCACAGGGAAAAGUGCUUUUGGAUUACAUUGCCUUUUGUUGAUUUAAACAGAAACGAAUGGAAAACUCUUUGGAGGGGUUUUAGUUUGUUGAAACACAGAAAAAAUGCUUUUUACCUCUGGCCCACAGAAGAUACUGGCCCUGUUUCUACUGCAGUUACUGUCCUAAGUGCUCUUUGAAAGAGGAACCGUUCAGCUACCAUCAGUGCAGGAAAUUGCAGGGUCAGACUUUGGUUUCUGGAAAAAUUCCUGUAUGUCUCUGUAAAACUAACCACACCUGAGGGACAACAAUCCAAAAAUAUUUUUAAUAAUGCUCAUAGGAGUUCUGUAUCCAGAGUCGUGGAUCCUUAGUAAAGAACCUCUGCAUCCCAGGAAAAAUCCCAACCUUCCCCCUGCUCUGUAUGUGCUGUGCUGUGUGUCCACUGCAAGGAUUUGGGUGGGCAAAUCCUGGGAUGGGGCAAAAUCCCAGCCACUUCUGUUUGUAAUUACCUGCGAGUGUCUGACUGACCCUGCAGCCCCAGUCCCUGUCAUCAGAGUGUGAAAUCCUCCCUCAGGAAAAGCAGUAAGGUGGAAACGUCUCCCUGCAGUGAGGAGAUGGGGUUUAUCAUGGGCAAGGGCUCUGAUUUAUGCUGGAGGAGCUCUCUGCAGUUAGACUGUUUGGAAACAAGGCUAGAGCAACGUGAAUGUCUGCUACCAUCCACUGGAACAAAAUCCUGCUACCACAAGGAUCUCUGGUAUAACAGUGUGGUGAGGGAAGCAUGGAAGCCUGAGCCAAUUCCAACUCCAAAUAUGUGCUUCAUGUGUCUCUCCAUUACCAUUCCCCUCACACUGCCAAUUCCACCACUAAAUGACCUAGUUCCAUGUCUAUGUGUCUUUUAAAUAUCCCAUAAUAUGUAUGAAAAAAGCUUAUCCAAUGAACUCUAAUUCCAGUAAUAUUCACAGUAAUAUUCCCAUGAAGAUCUAGUGAAUUGAAUAAAACCUAGUUGUCCUUUAAAGAAAAAAGAAGCCAAGAAUUAUUCUCAAAGCUUACAUUCAAAAGGGUAAAAAUAAAACCCAUAUGUCAUAGUCCUAAAAUUAUAUUUCUGGGGUUUUUUAAUGUACCCUUGUUUCCUGUAUAUAAAAGGAAAUUAUUUCCUUUGGAAAUGAGAUCUUAGCACUCUAUUCUUCUGAAUGUAACACCUUUCCAGCAGUCUGCUCAUGUCAAUCUUCUGUGGACUUCAGCAGUUUGGGGUUUGGUCCAUAUCAAGCAGUUUGUAAAAACAGAGCCAUUCAAAUCAUAAUAAUUAUAAUUCUGUUUCAUUGUA